UACGUAGGGUGCAAGCGUUGUCCGGAUUUAUUGGGCGUAAAGAGCUCGUAGGCGGUUUGUCGCGUCGGAUGUGAAAACCCAGGGCUCAACCCUGGGCCUGCAUUCGAUACGGGCAGACUGGAGGUAUGCAGGGGAGAACGGAAUUCCUGGUGUAGCGGUGAAAUGCGCAGAUAUCAGGAGGAACACCGGUGGCGAAGGCGGUUCUCUGGGCAUGUCCUGACGCUGAGGAGCGAAAGUGUGGGGAGCGAACAGG
This 253-nucleotide ribosomal RNA is filed under the name uncultured bacterium. RNAcentral describes it as "partial 16S ribosomal RNA". It matches the Rfam family "Bacterial small subunit ribosomal RNA", at positions 524 to 776 of the family's 1533-position model. The record is from RNAcentral.